Molecule: ribosomal RNA, 468 nt
Filed under: uncultured bacterium
Lineage: Bacteria
Description: partial 16S ribosomal RNA
Rfam family: Bacterial small subunit ribosomal RNA
Source: RNAcentral
GACGAACGCUGGCGGCGUGCUUAACACAUGCAAGUCGAACGGAAAGGCCCUGCUUUUGUGGGGUACUCGAGUGGCGAACUUGUGAGUAACACGUGAGUAACCUGCCCUUGACUUUGGGAUAACUUCAGGAAACUGGGGCUAAUACCUUAUAGGAGCUCCUGCUGCAUGGUGGGGGUUGGAAAGUUUCGGCGGUUGGGGAUGGACUCGCGGCUUAUCAGCUUGUUGGUGGGGUAGUGGCUUACCAAGGCUUUGACGGGUAGCCGGCCUGAGAGGGUGACCGGCCACAUUGGGACUGAGAUGCGGCCCAGACUCCUACGGGAGGCAGCAGUGGGGAAUAUUGCACAAUGGGCGGAAGCCUGAUGCAGCAACGCCGCGUGCGGGAUGACGGCCUUCGGGUUGUAAACCGCUUUCGCCUGUGACGAAGCGUGAGUGACGGUAAUGGGUAAAGAAGCACCGGCUAACUACGUG